RNAcentral lists this ribosomal RNA (497 nucleotides) under uncultured bacterium. RNAcentral's name for it is "partial 16S ribosomal RNA". It matches the Rfam family "Bacterial small subunit ribosomal RNA", at positions 28 to 507 of the family's 1533-position model. The record is from RNAcentral.
GAUGAACGCUGGCGGCGUGCCUAAUACAUGCCAGUCGAGCGAACAGACGAGGAGCUUGCUCCUCUGACGUUAGCGGCGGACGGGUGAGUAACACGUGGAUAACCUACCUAUAAGACUGGGAUAACUUCGGGAAACCGGAGCUAAUACCGGAUAAUAUAUUGAACCGCAUGGUUCAAUAGUGAAAGACGGUUUUGCUGUCACUUAUAGAUGGAUCCGCGCCGCAUUAGCUAGUUGGUAAGGUAACGGCUUACCAAGGCAACGAUGCGAAGCCGACCUGAGAGGGUGAUCGGCCACACUGGAACUGGGACACGGUCCAGACUCCUACGGGAGGAAGCAGUAGGGAAUCUUCCGCAAUGGGCGAAAGCCUGACGGAGCAACGCCGCGGGAGUGAUGAAGGUCUUCGGAUCGUAAAACUCUGUUAUUAGGGAAGAACAAAUGUGUAAGUAACUAUGCACGUCUUGACGGUACCUAAUCAGAAAGCCACGGCUAACUACGUG